This is a long non-coding RNA of Pseudopipra pipra, 1595 nucleotides long. RefSeq lists it as uncharacterized. The transcript has 3 exons. Lineage: Eukaryota; Metazoa; Chordata; Aves; Passeriformes; Pipridae. The record is from RefSeq and is a predicted model, not a curated record.
UGAGAGAAACAUGAGUUAGAGGCAACUCCCAUCUUUUCUUACUCUUUUCACCAGCCCAGUGUGUGGCUCUGGAGGCUUCUCAGCCUGGCACCCAGCCUAGUAAAGAGUUUCAAAAGUAACACCUUCUGCUGUCACAAAAACUUCCCUGAAGAUGGAGAUCACGAUGAUUCUGGAUGCAAUCAAUCCCUUAAGUAUUCAGCAUUGUUGAGACAUUUGCAUACUGGAACCCCAUGGUGGGUUAUUCUGUGCUCGGAGGCAAAAUUCCCUGGGAAUUCCCCUUGGAUUUUUCAGGCUUGGUUUCAGCUUCAAGGACGAAACAGGUUUGAAGAAAUAUAAUGAAGCGAGUUCUGGAAAAAGACAAAAGAUCUCCACAGCUCAAUGGCCAUGAAUGUCCCACUGAACUUGUCCUACACCCCUGUGAGAGCUCCUCACCCUCUGCAUGAAGCAGUUCCUCCUCUGGAACAAUCCUGGCAUAGACACAAGGAUACAACUGUACGUUUUUGUUGCACCAGGACAGUUGUUUUUCCUCCUCAUAGGAGAGCAAGUCCUGCUAACAGAGCGUGCUUUGUCCCCACAGACGUUCCUCACGCAGUUGGGAAGAGCUGUGCUGCUCUGGGCUGUUAAAUCGUAUUGUACAAGACAUUAAAGGUGAAAUGAUGAUGAACUUGGAUAAACUCAGCCUGGGAAAUAAACUGCAUCCCCCCCCCAACCACCCUCCCAGUCAACACCAGAGUUCACAGCCUGCUCUGAGAUGGAUUUCCAAAAGCUGAAUUUGUACCUGUUCCUUCCCGGGGUGGUACCAGCAUCGCAAAAAGAGAAUAAAAACACCAGGGGCAGCUUCCCCAAACUUUGCUUUUUGUAUAAUUUCCUUCCUGAGGUCUUGCUAAAUGAGACACUAUUCACAUAUUCCUCUAUUCCCACUGUUUUUCUGCUUGGCUUUCCAGGAUGGAGCUGAGCUUGCUGGGGUUUGCAUUCAGUAUCACUAACUGGAGGAAAAAGGGGAACAAAAGACACUGGUCUGAUGAUAAUAUUAUUAUUUCUCCUUUCUUGAAAAGCUUUCUGGGUGAAUGAGCACAAAGUUUGCAGGAUUCUCCUGAAAUAUUCUUGUUUAGGGUUGUUCCAGAUUGACAGAAAAAUGGAGAGGGAACACACCUCUGUAAUGUGCCUCUCUUGAGAAAUAUCCUGCUAGGAAUGACAUGCAGGAAAUUUGCUGGGAUUCUUUAAUUCAUAAACAAUCUGUUGUUCAUAUUUUCAAGGGUGUGACUGCUACUUUCAGGGAAAUUGGAUAAGUAAACUAAGAGUGGAUGUUGUCAGGCAGCUGCAGCCCUGGGGUGCAUAAAAGGGACAACUGAGUGCUUGGAGUUCAAGUUGCUGAUACUGAACAAGCUGAAUUUUGGCUGCAGAAUCCAUUUUAUAAUAAUAAUACUACUACUAAUAGUUGUUGUUGUUGUUAUUAUUAUUAUUGGUGGUGUUAUUAUUACUCUUUCCCUGUUAGGCUCAGACAAUUCUCAGCAACUUCGCCACAUUGUAGAAUUAAUUUUGAAGUGGAUAUAUAUUAAGAAACUAAUUAAUUUGAAACCCCCAUCAAAUAAAAA